This is a long non-coding RNA of Malaclemys terrapin pileata, 993 nucleotides long. RefSeq lists it as uncharacterized. Lineage: Eukaryota; Metazoa; Chordata; Testudines; Emydidae. The transcript has 3 exons. The record is from RefSeq and is a predicted model, not a curated record.
GCAAAAUGGUUUCGCUGUUGUUUCUAAUCGUUUGUGUUCACUGAUGUUUUAACAAACGUCUUAACGUGUACUGUUCUACUUGGCAGUUACCCCAGAACGGUCAUACAAUUCUUGGCCCAGGGCAGAAGCAGUAGCAGUGCUGAUGAAAUGCACAGAAUGGCUUUUAAUUCAGCCUACUCCAGCAGUUCCUAAAAAUAACAAGGAGAUUAUUCCUUCCAAACUGUGUUUACUCAUAAUACGUGACUAUGACCACAGACUGAACAGCCGAUUUUUAAACGUGCUGGAGUUUGUACUAACUCUGUUUCCUAUAGCACCUAAACGAGCUUUGGAAACGUGAGUUUUGUUGUUGUUGGAAGGUUCCGUGUCUCAUUUCCGGAGGAUGAUUACGGUACCUAUAAAACAGUAGUGAGUUAAAACAUCUCUCCACAAUAGUUGGUAUUGUUAGCGUUCUCCGUUGGACUUUCACACUGAGAUGUUGAUUACCUUCCAUUUUUAUUUUUACCCCUAUUCUCUUCUCCGACUCUAAUCUAUAUACACAUCUGUUAGACUAAAAAUUAUAUGCAUUGAGAUAACAGCUAAACAUUAUGUGUAGCUACUCAAAAGAAUCCCUGUCCUGAAGAAUUUGUACUAUGUGUGGGGGGAAAUGAUGAAUACAAAUGAGGUUUUUAAAAAUGUGAAAUUUUUCAGCAGAGGCUAGACCGGAAACGUGCCAUGAAAAUUAAGAUUCGGUGAAUACAAAAAUCCAACGUCCAUACUUCUUUUAAAAAAGUUGUGGUCAGAAGGUUUUUUCUUUGAAGACGCACUGGAUUCAUCGCGAAAAAAAUGAGAGAAAUAUCCUUUCUCUCUCCUGGAAAUUUUACGGAAUGAGAAGAUAUUAUGCCGAUUGGUCUCUUUCUGAAAUUGUUCUGGCUCGCAGGAGCCCCUGCUACUUUGACAGCUGUCGCUUUGGCUGCACAGGAGACGAAUCGCCCUCCUUUUGGUGCCAGAAGAAGC